Molecule: long non-coding RNA, 656 nt
Organism: Microplitis mediator
Lineage: Eukaryota; Metazoa; Arthropoda; Insecta; Hymenoptera; Braconidae
Exons: 3
Source: RefSeq, a predicted model, not a curated record
CAGUUUGGUCUCUUUGACUAAAGGUGGAAAAAUAAUAAAAUUUAAACUCAACCAAAGAAAAAAUACCAUAUUGUUUUCAAUUGGCUAUAAAUACUCCGAUACUUGACUCAUUGAUUCGUAAAGAAAAAUAAUUUUCGUCAAGUGUCGGCUGAAAAUUCAAUAUAAUUGAUAUAAAAAGCUUCAAAAUGAUGUCUAGAUUAUUUUCAUUUUUGUCAAUUUUAUUAAUCAUUGGAAUGAUCGCUACUGUUGAUUCUAAAAAUGACGAAGAUUGUACCGGAAAAUGGUGUCAUGGACAACAAGGCUACAAAUGCUGCUUUGGUUAUGAGUGUUCUGGCUUUUGGCACGAAGGAACCUGUGGACCAAAAUUUGCAACUAUUCUCGAGAAAAAUUUUGGUGGAAAUUGGUCGGGUUAAUUAAAAUUUUCAUUUAUAGUCGUUUUCUUGAAGACUUCAAUUAAUAUGUGCAUAAUAAAUGCACAAGUUAUUAUUUAGUUAUCGGAUACCGUAACACAUAAUGACUCAUAUACAUGUAUUUUUUUCUAUUUAAAACGUUCUAUAUUCAAUACAAUGUUAAAUUAUUAUUGGUAAAUAUAUUUUAAAAUUGAUUUUGUAUCAGUUGAUUAGAUUACAAAUAAAUUUCUCAAUUUGAAUUUCAAA